This 776-nucleotide ribosomal RNA is filed under the name uncultured Neocallimastigales. RNAcentral's name for it is "partial large subunit ribosomal RNA". It matches the Rfam family "Eukaryotic large subunit ribosomal RNA", at positions 23 to 646 of the family's 3401-position model. The record is from RNAcentral. Lineage: Eukaryota; Fungi; Neocallimastigomycota; Neocallimastigomycetes; Neocallimastigales.
AGAUGCGAGAGUAGAGCAUAUCAAUAAGCGGAGGAAAAGAAACUAACUAGGAUUCCCUCAGUAACGGCGAGUGAAGCGGGAAGAGCUCAAAUUUGAAAUCUUCAAGGUUCUACCUUGACGAAUUGUAGUUUAAAGAAGUGUUUUCUGUUGGAGUUUUGGUAAAAGUUCUUUGGAAUAGGACAUCAUAGAGGGUGAGAAUCCCGUAUUUGACCAUUAUUUCCAACUUUGUGAUACACUUUCAAGGAGUCGGAUUGUUUGGGAAUGCAGUCCAAAAUGGGUGGUAGAUUUCAUCUAAAGCUAAAUACUGGCGAGAGACCGAUAGCGAACAAGUACCGUGAGGGAAAGAUGAAAAGAACUUUGAAAAGAGAGUUAAACAGUACGUGAAAUUGUCAAAAGGGAAGCGUUUGACACCAGUGUUGUUUUCUCGAAAAUCAAUUAAAAAUGGUGGGAUUUUGUGUUGUAUUGACUUUAUCAGCUUUCUGCACUUUUUUCCUAUCUUUUUUAAUGCACUUUUCGUUUAACAAGUCAACAUCAAUUUCUUUUGUUGUAAAAGGGUCAGUAGGAAGGUGGCUUUCAGCUUCGGUGAAAAGUGUUUAUAGCCUUUUGCUUCUGCAGUCGGAGAGAUUGAGGUCUGCAGCGUAGACUCCUUCGGGGUUAGAUACAUUUGUGCUAAGUUAUAGCCUUUCAUAGACAACUUGUUGACUAUGUUAGUCUUGUAGCUUACUCGCUUAUGCUAUUUUACCUACGCUUAGGAUGUUGACGAGACUGUCGAUCUC